AUUACUGGGCGUAAAGCGCGCGUAGGUGGUUUGUUAAGCUAGAUGUGAAAGCCCCGGGCUCAACCUGGGAAUUGCAUUUAGAACUGGCAGGCUAGAGUACAGAAGAGGACAGUGGAAUUUCUAGUGUAGCGGUGAAAUGCGUAGAUAUUAGAAGGAACACCAGUGGCGAAGGCGACUGUCUGGGCUGAUACUGACACUGAKGUGCGAAAGCGUGGGUAGCAAACAGGAUUAGAUACCCUGGUAGUCCACGCCGUAAACGAUGUCUACUAGCCGUUGGGACCCUUGUUGGUCUUAGUGGCGCAGCUAACGCAAUAAGUAG
Molecule: ribosomal RNA, 319 nt
Filed under: uncultured bacterium
Lineage: Bacteria
Description: bacterial SSU rRNA
Rfam family: Bacterial small subunit ribosomal RNA
Source: RNAcentral